UAGCUGGCAAGUGAACUGAGGGAAUCAGUCU
This 31-nucleotide non-coding RNA is filed under the name Mus musculus (house mouse). The record is from RNAcentral. Lineage: Eukaryota; Metazoa; Chordata; Mammalia; Rodentia; Muridae.